RNAcentral lists this small nucleolar RNA (99 nucleotides) under Leishmania donovani. RNAcentral describes it as "C/D box snoRNA LD36Cs-1C1". Lineage: Eukaryota; Euglenozoa; Kinetoplastea; Trypanosomatida; Trypanosomatidae. The record is from RNAcentral.
AGAGACGAUGAUCAACCGAUUUAUGCGUUCUGUUUGAGCUGAUUUCAUUCACUGAAGCAUCACAUUGACCUUUUUAUGGUCUACCUCUACUGAUCUGCC